Drosophila mojavensis is the source of this 707-nucleotide long non-coding RNA. RefSeq lists it as uncharacterized. The record is from RefSeq and is a predicted model, not a curated record. The transcript is spliced from 2 exons. NCBI's taxonomy places the organism in Eukaryota, Metazoa, Arthropoda, Insecta, Diptera, Drosophilidae.
AUUGUGCUAUAGCUAUUAAAAGUAUUUUUUUAUUGAACAAAAACGAAAAUUGACUUGCAUGCUACAAGUGUGCGAAUUGCUAGGCGCUUAACAUCUCCAUCAUAGCCGCUUGACAACUCUGAAAAUGAAUCAUUAAAAUGUUGAGGGUAGAGCGCAAUUUCGCUGAGUGAGCGAGGAGAACAUUUCGAGUUCAUUAUAAUAAAAGAAAUGAAACGAAACGAAUGAAUGCAUACAAACAAAUACAUACACACACACUGAGUACUCUGCAAACAUUGUUGCACAGCAACAGCAACGCCAACCGCAGAUAGCAGCAGAAAUUUCUGUAGUAAAACGGAAGUUGUUGUCGUAGUCAGCUUCGCGGAAGAAGCACGAAUAGAGGCUAGUGCUAACGUAAUUUUUCUCCAAAGCAACAAUUUGACGACAUUAAAAAAAGAAACGCACCUUUGCUACCUGAGCAAAGUUAACGCAAGCGAAAGAGCGCGAGAGGAAGAGAGAGAGAUAACUCUCAUACAGCUAGAGUUCUUCGAUGGCACAAAGGUUAUCAGCAAUAACAAAGAAUAGUAACAGUAGCAACAACAAUAAAAACAACUGCUUUCAGCAAUAACUGCACCUGCAACUCAAAAGCAAUCGCCGAACAACGCCUAAAAAACAAGUUAUAUAGAUAUAUAUGUUAUUCAGAGAGAGGGAGACAAAACGAUACACAUAAG